Molecule: long non-coding RNA, 1150 nt
Filed under: Monodelphis domestica (gray short-tailed opossum)
Lineage: Eukaryota; Metazoa; Chordata; Mammalia; Didelphimorphia; Didelphidae
Description: lncRNA (ENSMODG00000030094.2)
Source: RNAcentral
GGUUUAAGGACCUUUAUAACAAGUGGAUGGUGGGGGAGUCAUCAAGACAGAUCCUGAAUCAAACAACUUCUAGCAAUCUCUAGAGUUAGUGUUAGGCUGGAGUCAGUACUGUGGGUAGAAAUUAAAUAUGGAAUAUCUUUCUGAGUUAGAAGAGCACGAGAAGAAACUAGAUGGACUAUGACAAAGAAUUUUGAUAUUUUCUUUUUCCCUUAUAGAGUUCAGUCCAAAAUCUUAAGUUACCACCUAACACAGAGUUGGAAGAUGCUUAUGGUAAAGAAACAAGCUGAGGAGAUGCUAUUAGAGAGGCCCUGGAAAGAGAAAUUGGCAGAAAAGUAGAUCUUUACAAGCUUCCCUCAAUCCUUGAAGGCUGGAUUUUACUACUCCCAUUUUACAGAUGAAGAAAUUGGAGCUUAAAGACAUUAAGUGACUUGAUUAAAUGUGAAUAGAGUCUAAGAGGCAAACCGAGUCCAGAUCAAGAGCUCUUCCCAUUGCAUCUUACUCUCUUCUUCUUCAUGGACUUCUACCAAAGGAAAUCUAGAAGUAAACCCUAUUUCUACCAUGAAGGCUGCUCUUUCUGCUGUUAAUGUUGCUGAAUAACUGCUCAUCUCAAAAGCCUUAUUGGCUGCCUAUUGCUUAAUGUGUCAGACACGGCACAUUUCUAUAGAUGUUCCAAAUGAUUCUUCCAUGAUCUUCGAAAACUAUCCAUGCAGCUAGGUGUCUCAGUGGUUUGAGAGCUAGCUUUAGAUAUGGGAGGUCCCGAGUUCAAAUCUGGUCACAGAUAUCCCUAGAUGUGUGACCUUACGCAAAUCACUUAAUCCCAAUUGCCACAAACCCUAUACCAUUCUUCUGUUUUAGAGCCAAUACUUAGUAUUGAUUUCAAGAUGGAAGAUAAGGAUUAUAAAAAAAAGAAAGAAAACUAUCCAUUGAAAGUUUCAGAGCUAGAAGGGACCUGAGAGACCAUUUCAUCCAGUUGAUUUAUUUUAGAGACUAGGAAAAGCUAAGCAAUGAAGCCAAGGUAAUAUGGCCAGUUAUCAACAAGCAUAUACCAUCUCUUUGUGGCUUUAGCCCCAGUACAACUUUGCUUUCUCACAUUCACUGAGCAUUUAUUAAUCACUUAUGAUCUAGGAAUAUGAAGUGUGAGAAUUUAAUA